UUGAAGUGCAAAUGUUUUUCUUCUAAGAGAAAUACAAAGAUUCUGGUCGUGCUGCUGGUAUUUUAGAGGUUCUGCACGCUGUACCCUUCAUAUUCCCGAUCAUCAUUCAGCUAUCAGGUUUUUGUCUAGUCGUACUUAGCAGAAUAAAUAUGGCACCUAGCUGCCAUACACACCCCUUGCUGCUGAAGAUGAUGAUUAUGAUUUAUGAUAGUGUUGGUGGGGAAGGCAUGACCCUCAAUUUCGAAUAUAGACCUUGAGCCUUUGAUACAAUCCCUUGGAAAUCCAGCUCCCUCGGAGAUGGAGCCAGCGUGGGGCCAAGGGGGCACUUUCAAGGAUAUAUAUGUAAUUUUACAAAUCUCUAAAAGCCCUUUAAUAUAGCUACACCUCUACCCUAUUGGAUUCUAUUUUAUUGGUUUUGUAGCUUAGCUCAGCAUUGUUGAUGUUAUUCGUUACUUGGAUUUUUCAUAUAGC
This 471-nucleotide unclassified non-coding RNA is filed under the name Hevea brasiliensis (rubber tree). The record is from RNAcentral. Lineage: Eukaryota; Viridiplantae; Streptophyta; Magnoliopsida; Malpighiales; Euphorbiaceae.